This 23-nucleotide non-coding RNA is filed under the name Cricetulus griseus (Chinese hamster). The record is from RNAcentral. Lineage: Eukaryota; Metazoa; Chordata; Mammalia; Rodentia; Cricetidae.
AAAAAUUAAAAGAUGGACUGGAG